CAAACAUCGACGGUGUUUACACCACAGACAUUGAUUUAAGACAACAGAAGGUCACAGUACUGGGAAAUGUAGAUGCAGAUACUUUGAUCAAGAAACUGGUGAAGGCAGGGAAGCAUGCAGAGCUAUGGCCUGACCACAAGGAGAAAAAGAAAGGGAAAUCAAAGAAUAAAAAGAAGAAAGGAAAAGACAAAGAGAAACAAAGUGACCAAGAAAGCG
RNAcentral lists this unclassified non-coding RNA (216 nucleotides) under Hevea brasiliensis (rubber tree). Lineage: Eukaryota; Viridiplantae; Streptophyta; Magnoliopsida; Malpighiales; Euphorbiaceae. The record is from RNAcentral.